Molecule: ribosomal RNA, 292 nt
Filed under: uncultured bacterium
Lineage: Bacteria
Description: partial 16S ribosomal RNA
Rfam family: Bacterial small subunit ribosomal RNA
Source: RNAcentral
GUGCCAGCCGCCGCGGUAAUACAGAGGGGGCAAGCGUUGUUCGGAAUUACUGGGCGUAAAGGGCGCGUAGGCGGCCUUCUAAGUCGAACGUGAAAUCCCUGGGCUCAACCCAGGAACUGCGUCCGAUACUGGGAGGCUUGAAUCCGGGAGAGGGAUGCGGAAUUCCAGGUGUAGCGGUGAAAUGCGUAGAUAUCUUGAGGAACACCGGUGGCGAAGGCGGCAUCCUGGACCGGUAUUGACGCUGAGGCGCGAAAGCCAGGGGAGCAAACGGGAUUAGAUACCCCAGUAGUCC